ACUUAUCUAGUAGUGUAAAAUGAUUAAGUUUGACUUGAUUGUAUAUAUUUUAUCUUUUUAUCUUUUUUAUUUUUUUUUUAUUUUUUUUAUAUAUAAAAAAGUGCUACUAGGGUUUGUGUUUUUUGUGCAUGCAGCAGGAGCUCAGACAUACUAGGAGCAAGAAAAAUACGCAACCUCUUCUUGAAGGCUUAAGCGAGGCAAGGGGGAGAAUGAUAGACAGACUCCCAUCUAGGGAUUUGUUUCCUUCCCCUGACAGAUUACUAUCACCUUCACCAGUUAGAAGAACAUAGGAGAUGGCUGAACGAACUCCUCCAAGACGCACUCUUGCAGACCAAUCAAAUGCGGUU
This 347-nucleotide long non-coding RNA is filed under the name Vigna radiata. RNAcentral's name for it is "long non-coding RNA (VRAD_LNC013629)". Lineage: Eukaryota; Viridiplantae; Streptophyta; Magnoliopsida; Fabales; Fabaceae. The record is from RNAcentral.